Molecule: non-coding RNA, 423 nt
Organism: Pantherophis guttatus
Lineage: Eukaryota; Metazoa; Chordata; Lepidosauria; Squamata; Colubridae
Source: RefSeq, a predicted model, not a curated record
CGCCGCCGCCAUUUUCCCGGAAGUAGAAAGAAUCGUUGACAUCAAUCCGUAAACAUUGAGUAGUUAGAGAGCCACCCACAGUUCUCAGCUUCCGGGUUCGCUUUGGAUAUUCCGUAUUCUUGUUCCAUCAAGGGCUGUCGUCGGGAAAAACAGCCACAACGGAGGCACACAAUAAAGGCAGGUUCUUCCUUUCUGGCAUAGGUCUUCGUUGCUGCAGUACUCACGUUGGGAAACAUCCAACCUGGCAGAGAGGAAGGAUGAAGCACAGAUCUGUCUAGAAUCACUGCACAACCAUAAAGGAGCCAGAAGUGGCCCUCCCUGAAUUCCUUGGAGCCUUAUCUAAUUGUUCCCGAGGAAGAGCUGCCAGACGAGAGAUUCCUGUAUUAUAGGCAAAACAUAAUAAAGUAAUUAGUUCAAACUCCA